Helianthus annuus (common sunflower) is the source of this 501-nucleotide long non-coding RNA. RefSeq lists it as uncharacterized. NCBI's taxonomy places the organism in Eukaryota, Viridiplantae, Streptophyta, Magnoliopsida, Asterales, Asteraceae. The record is from RefSeq and is a predicted model, not a curated record. The transcript is spliced from 2 exons.
CUCAGACGGCUAACGAGAUAAAGAACUACCGGCAUUCAUAUCUGAAGAAGAAAGCACACAACUUAGAUAACAAGAAAUCUCAAAACACAUAGAAUAAACAAACACCAUGUACAAGAACAGACUCAAGCCUUGAAUCUUCAGCAUCAGUUUGCUUACAUGGUGAUGUUGGAAAAAAAACCCACCGUGAAGCACUUACACAGUUUUUAAGCGUGUCACGUGUUCACAUGGUAAUUAGUUUCAGUAACGAAGACACAGAGGCAGCAUUAUGAGGGGAAAUCGCAACUAUUCGCAAGGUCACCAAAUUAACGGGUCAACCAGAGGUGGAGAUCUUAACAAGGCCAAUAAUCAUAUAGCCUUCACAGCAGUAUAAGCAGGGAAUACAUAAUGAAAACACAAUUUUUGUUUUUCUUAUUUUGUUUGAGUUUUUUGUUUUUGUUUUUUGUUUGUAUUAAAAGUCCUUAAUUGCAAGUUCAUAAACAAAAUAAAAUAUUCUUGCUGCUG